RNAcentral lists this ribosomal RNA (468 nucleotides) under uncultured bacterium. RNAcentral describes it as "partial 16S ribosomal RNA". It matches the Rfam family "Bacterial small subunit ribosomal RNA", at positions 28 to 507 of the family's 1533-position model. The record is from RNAcentral.
GACGAACGCUGGCGGCGUGCUUAACACAUGCAAGUCGAACGGAAAGGCCACGUCUUUGUGGGGUGCUCGAGUGGCGAACGGGUGAGUAACACGUGAGUAACCUGCCCCUGACUUUGGGAUAACUUCAGGAAACUGGGGCUAAUACCGGAUAGGAGCUCCUGCUGCAUGGUGGGGGUUGGAAAGUUUCGGCGGUUGGGGAUGGGCUCGCGGCUUAUCAGCUUGUUGGUGGGGUAGUGGCUUACCAUGGCUUUGACGGGUAGCCGGCCUGAGAGGGUGACCGGCCACAUUGGGACUGAGACACGGCCCAGACUCCUACGGGAGGCAGCAGUGGGGAAUAUUGCACAAUGGGCGGAAGCCUGAUGCAGCAACGCCGCGUGCGGGAUGACGGCCUUCGGGUUGUAAACCUCUUUCGGCAGUGACGAAGCGUGAGUGACGGUAGUUAGUGAAGAAGCACCGGCUAACUACGUG